Long non-coding RNA from Peromyscus leucopus (white-footed mouse), 242 nucleotides. RefSeq lists it as uncharacterized. The record is from RefSeq and is a predicted model, not a curated record. The transcript is spliced from 3 exons. NCBI's taxonomy places the organism in Eukaryota, Metazoa, Chordata, Mammalia, Rodentia, Cricetidae.
AGAGAGCACUCCACGCCCCUGAGCAUGCUUCUUCCUGUUGGAGGAUUAAGAGUCACAGCCAGGUUGCAGCUGAGUAGAAGAGCCCUUUCCUCUGCAAGUUUCCUCUUUAUUCCACAGACAUGCCUAGUGUCCUGGAGGAGGAGAGAAGAAGAUGCCGGAACUCUGGAACUGGCUGGAGUCACAGUCCUUUGUGAGCUGCCAAAGCCUUCAUCUAGUAACUGAUGGAAGCAGAUGCAGAGAUC